UUNUGAACUGGGUGACUAGAGUGUGUCAGAGGGAGGUAGAAUUCCACGUGUAGCAGUGAAAUGCGUAGAGAUGUGGAGGAAUACCGAUGGCGAAGGCAGCCUCCUGGGAUAACACUGACGUUCAUGCCCGAAAGCGUGGGUAGCAAACAGGAUUAGAUACCCUGGUAGUCCACGCCCUAAACGAUGUCGAUUAGCUGUUGGGCAGCAUGACUGCUUAGUAGCGAAGCUAACGCGUGAAAUCGACCGCCUGGGGAGUACGGUCGCAAGAUUAAAACUCAAAGGAAUUGACGGGGACCCGCACAAGCGGUGGAUGAUGUGGAUUAAUUCGAUGCAACGCGAAGAACCUUACCUGGUCUUGACAUGUACGGAACCCUCCAGAGACGGAGGAGUGCCUUCGGGAGCCGUAACACAGGUGCUGCAUGGCUGUCGUCAGCUCGUGUCGUGAGAUGUUGGGUUAAGUCCCGCAACGAGCGCAACCCUUGUCAUUAGUUGCCAUCAUUAAGUUGGGCACUCUAAUGAGACUGCCGGUGACAAGCCGGAGGAAGGUGGGGAUGACGUCAAGUCCUCAUGGCCCUUAUGACCAGGGCUUCACACGUCAUACAAUGGUCGGUACAGAGGGUAGCCAAGCCGCGAGGCGGAGCCAAUCUCACAAAACUGAUCGUAGUCCGGAUUGCACUCUGCAACUCGAGUGCAUGAAGUCGGAAUCGCUAGUAAUCGCAGGUCAGCAUACUGCGGUGAAUACGUUCCCGGGUCUUGUACACACCGCCCGUCACACCAUGGGAGUGGGGGAUACCAGAAGUAGGUAGGGUAAC
This 812-nucleotide ribosomal RNA is filed under the name uncultured bacterium. Its description in RNAcentral is "bacterial SSU rRNA". It matches the Rfam family "Bacterial small subunit ribosomal RNA", at positions 626 to 1439 of the family's 1533-position model. The record is from RNAcentral.